RNAcentral lists this small RNA (86 nucleotides) under Xyrichtys novacula (pearly razorfish). Lineage: Eukaryota; Metazoa; Chordata; Actinopteri; Labriformes; Labridae. The record is from RNAcentral.
UGCAAGAAUGUCUCCUAGAUCACUCCAAACAGAGCCACUGCUGAUUUCUUCAACAAAAGUGCUUCUCUUUGGGGUUGUCUAGGAUG